RNAcentral lists this long non-coding RNA (371 nucleotides) under Macaca mulatta (Rhesus monkey). Its description in RNAcentral is "lncRNA (ENSMMUG00000063194.1)". The record is from RNAcentral. Lineage: Eukaryota; Metazoa; Chordata; Mammalia; Primates; Cercopithecidae.
AAGGAGACAAGGUUAAUGCUAAAAAGCCUAACAAUAUUCAGGAGAAGUUGGGAGUGGAACUCACAAAUAAGGAAUCUUGGAAUCUACAAGAACACUUACCAGUUGAUGAGGGAAAGGUUGCUAUUGAUAACCUUGACACCAUUCUAGAGAAAAUGGAAAUGAAUUUCUCUGAUAAGGAAUUUGAAGAACUGUCACACAAUUGGCCAGCUGAUGGGAAAGUGAAACGUAUUAAACUAGUGCAUGCAGCUAUACCUGUUACAGGUAAGAAGUUGAUAUAAAACUGAGAUACUAAUGCUUUAUAAAAUUUUUUUUGCAACAGUAUUUUGAAUAUGUAACCAUUUCUUUGUAACUUCUGCCACUUUAUUAACUAA